This 1745-nucleotide long non-coding RNA is filed under the name Homo sapiens (human). RNAcentral describes it as "HSALNT0391160". Lineage: Eukaryota; Metazoa; Chordata; Mammalia; Primates; Hominidae. The record is from RNAcentral.
CUGGGCGAGAGUAGGAAAAGGGAAUUGGGAGAUACUGUUCAAAGGGUACAAAGUUUCACUUAGACAAGAAGAAUACUUUCUAGUGAUCAACUGCAGAGCAUAGCGACUAUAGUUAAUAAUAUAUAUUUCAAAAUUGGUAAGAGAGUAUAUUUCAAAUAGUCACCACAAAAAACCAGUAAAUGAGGUUAUGGCUAUGUUAAUUAGCUUGUUUUAAUCAUCUACAUUGUGUGCAUGUGUGCAUUUUGAUAUAUGUAUCAAAACAUCACAUUGUAUCUCAUAAAUAUAUACAAUUAUGAUUUGUCAAUUAAAAAUAUAAAAAAUUAAAAUUAAAAUUAUUUGGGGUCAAAAAAAUCUCUUAAGGAUGAAAUGGUAAGCAAAAGUGACACAGGAACUAAACAGAAGGUAAAUCAAGGAUGGUAGGCCUGAUAUAUUCAGCAUUUUUAAGACAAAUCUACAUAUAAAAUUGGUUUUUGUUUCUUUUACUUUGGGCAAGUUGAAAUAUUAAAAAUAAAUAAUAAACAUUAAAAUAUUUAAAAUGUUAAACAUUUAAGUACUUAAAAUAGAAGAAUUUUAUGUACUCAAAGUUGGUAAAAAUAGAUUAUCUUCUAUCUAAAUAAUUUAAAACACAUUAAAAGGCUUUUGUAUCAAAAGAUUUUAAAAAAUUCAAAGUAAAUAACAACUGAUAUUAUAACAAAACAAAAUGCAUGUUAUUUUAGAUGAUACUGACCGAAAAUGCCAGACCCCAUUCCAUUCUCUUUUCACAAUAUAACAAAAAUUCAAAAAUCAUCUUACAAAACACUUUGUAGAAAAACACAGCGUUCUCAGUUGCCAUAGAUACACAACAUUCUGCUUCAUCAUGCAAUAUUCUGUAUUCCAUUCAACUUCAAGUAAAAAGAAAUACAUAAAGGAAACGUCUUUAUUGUGUAACUCAGGCUUCAAGAGAACCUAAGAUUAAAACCUAGUGGCCAAAAAAGAAACCCAACUGCACUUGGCAAAACUACAUAUAAUUGAAACCAGUGAAGAAUAUUUCUUCAACAGAAGACAACCAAAAUAAUUUCCUGUUCAUGGGUUGCUGUUACUAUUAGUUUUCGAGGAGUCCGAAUCUAGCACACUAGACAGACAGAUCAGGCCUGGUGAGGGCUGCUCAGAAAGAUGGGACAUAGGAAUCAGGUAUGUGGGGGGAAUUUGAGGGGAUCCUAGAGGCAUGCGCCAAAUUGGGUUCUUCGCUGGAUCAUUUAACCAGUCCACAGCAAUGUAAUACCAAGAAGACAGAAACACAUGAACUCUUAGAUAAAGAAGAAGGAGACUCAAGUAGGUCUGGCAGAAUUGAAGAAGUAAGAUCGAAUACAGACGAUGAGCCAGGCAUUCAACAAAACAGUCAGAGAUGAUAUGAGGAGUGGACCAAUUAAAAGGGUAGUUCUGGAACCAAUUCCACAAAUAGGAUCUUUCAUUCCUGGCUAUCCUUAUCUGGUAACAUCCUCAUUUUGUCUGGAUAGGGUUCUUAAGGUUUCUGAGAUUAUAUUAUCUCCGGGGCUUUCAAUUCUCCCACAGAAAUACAAUAUUCUUUUUUUAACUUAAAAAAAUUAAUCAUUUCUCCAUUCUCUCCAAUUUUUGGACAUGUAUUUUCUAAUUUUUCCUCAUUAAUAAAUAACAUCACAAUACACAUCCAUCAGCACACAUCUCACACACUGUAUUUUUUAAAAAAUAGCCUUAGAAGUAGAAUCAACAGGUAAAUGGAGACACAG